CCUCCACUUGACUGUCCAAUUUCAUUCAAAUAACACCUGCCUGUUGGGCACCUGACUUCCAAAAUUAAAAAAUGAAAAAAAAAAACUGCUUGUCUGCGACCAAGUAUGAAUCCCUUUGUGACCCAUUUUAUUUUCUAUCCCCAUCGCCGACCAGUCUGUUUCAUCUUCUGGCUUAUGCCUCUCCAAACUAGGGUUCCGACCCGCUUCUCUGAGGUCUCCCUCCCUUCCAUCUUCCAGUCAAACAAAACCGCAGGACCUCACAAUAAGCAGCAGAGUAGGAAUCCACAUCUGGAAUUGGGGAGGGGGAGGUAAUCCUCUGUAGCUCUACUGGCCAGGGAGAGUGUCAUGUCCAGCUCUCUGAGGGUGGAAGUGGGUUAACCAUGAACUCUCGGCUCCUGCUGGGAAACCAAAGACUCUAGGGGUCAUCACUUGAGAAACACUCUGUUCUGCUGCCCAGCCCUGCCUUGCCCUGCCCUGCCCUGCCUUGCCCUGCCCUGCCCUGCCCAGCCCUGUCCUGCCCAGCCCUUCUCAGCUCAGCCUGGCCCAGCUCAGUUUAUCCCACGUCGGGCCUCUCCGCUCUCUCCUGCAGCGCAGUCUCUUCCCGGGCUCUCCUUCUCGCUCGGUGCCUUCCCCACCCUCCUGCUCCACCUCCACCUCCUGGGUCUUUUUCACUUCUCCCUCCUCUUCUUCCUCCUCCACCCCCGCAAGGUCCAGCUCGCCUUAGCCGACCAGGGGAGCCCGCACAUCGCUUGCUGUCAGCCAUCAAGUGGCUCGUUAAGGAAAUGCAGGUGAGUGCGUGUGGCGGAGCCGCUGCCGCGGUUGUUGGGGGAUGUGGGGUGUGUGCGCGUGUGCGCGUAUGUGCCUGUCUGUGGGUUCGUGGAAGAGAGAGAGCGAGCGCGAGCAAGCGAAGACAGCGGCGACUAAGAGAGCGGAACGAGCGCAGCUCCGGCUCUCCCUGAUCCGCGCCCCUUGCUCUCGCUUUGGUAGCAGCCAGCGGCAGGAGCGCGCGUGGCAGGCAGCGCCUCCUUUCCUCGCUCCUUGCCUCCCUCCCAUCACUUGGACCGCGGCGCUGACUCUGCCAGAGUGUCUCGGCUGCUUCCAGCCAGGAGGCUCUCACUUACCUCCCCCUCCCUUCCUCCCUUCUUCUCCAGCCGAUCCCAACUGCUCCUCCAGCUCCUCCUCCUCCUCCUUCCACCUCCCCUUCUGGAGAGGACUAUCAUCCUCAGCUGGGAGAGUGCAGUUGCUCGGGGGCCUGUGUGGAAUAAAACACAAUUCUUUAUCUGACUGUUAGGAGAGGGAAGAGAAGACUCCUCAGGGUUUCCAAAGAGAGGUCCGGGCUGGCUACCUUAGUAAGUAAACCAUGUUGGUCUAUUAUUUUUUUCCUUUAAAGGUGUAUUUUCGUUGGCAUGUUUUGUUUUGUUUUUCUUCUUUGUAGUUUAUUCAAGGUAAGCCCCUACCCGAGAAACUUAUGUAACUUAAAAAAGAGUAUGUGAGGGAGCUUGCUUUUCUAAGGAAGAUUACUUGCAUUUGGGGAGAUCAGCAUGGGUAGGAGUUGGGUUUUGUGUAGAUUUCUGUGCCUCCUCUUUUAAAAUAGAUGUUUUUGGGGAGAAGAUGGCAUUGAAAUGUCAAUUUGUUCUAUAAUGAAUGGACAGCUCCCGCUAGAGAAUGUUUGAAUUUGAAAUCUCCCUCCUCCCCACCACACCCCCACUCCUACUUCCACCUUCAGCACCGGUCCUGCACCCACCCCCAAGCCAACCCAAGCCAACCCAACCCAACCCAGUGACUGCCGCUGGCUCUUUUUUAUCUUUAAUUCUGGAAAUAUCUAACAGGACGUUUUCAUUAAAGAGAAGUUGCUUUUAUCUGUUUGAAAGCCGAUUUUAAGUUGGUAGUGCUUACAAGUAAAACAACAACAAUAAUAAUGACUGUCUUUUAAAAAAUAAAAUCCCCAGUUGGAGAAUUUGAAUAAACUUU
This is a long non-coding RNA of Monodelphis domestica (gray short-tailed opossum), 1971 nucleotides long. Lineage: Eukaryota; Metazoa; Chordata; Mammalia; Didelphimorphia; Didelphidae. The record is from Ensembl.